AAGGUAGCAUAAUAAUUUGCCUCCUAAUUAGAGGCUAGUAUGAAUGGACAAACGAAAGUAAAACUGUCUCCAAUAGAACCAUAAAACUUAAGCUUUAGGUGAAGACGCCUAAAUUAAACUAAAGGACAAAAAGACCCUGUUGAGCUUAACUUUCAACAAAUCAAAAAACUUUUCUAAAGUUUAGUUGGGGCGACUAAUGAAGAAACAAAGCUUCCUUAACACAAAGACUAAUAUGUCUCACUAAUGACCUGCCUAUGCAAUCAAAAAAGAAGCUACCACAGGGAUAACAGACUAAUCCUUCUCAAGAGCCCAAAUUGACAGAAGGGUUUGGCACCUCGAUGUUGGCUUAAGGUAUCCACUGAGUGCAGCAGCUCAGUAGGAAGGUUUGUUCAACCUUUAAUUCCUUACGUGAUCUGAGUUCAGACCGGA
RNAcentral lists this ribosomal RNA (429 nucleotides) under Lumbrineridae sp. NHM 2146. Its description in RNAcentral is "partial large subunit ribosomal RNA". It matches the Rfam family "Bacterial large subunit ribosomal RNA", at positions 1953 to 2620 of the family's 2925-position model. The record is from RNAcentral. Lineage: Eukaryota; Metazoa; Annelida; Polychaeta; Eunicida; Lumbrineridae.